This 99-nucleotide non-coding RNA is filed under the name Nitratireductor aquibiodomus. RNAcentral describes it as "Glycine riboswitch". It matches the Rfam family "Glycine riboswitch aptamer", at positions 7 to 88 of the family's 94-position model. From Rfam's summary of the family: This family represents the bacterial glycine riboswitch. Glycine riboswitches usually consist of two metabolite-binding aptamers domains with similar structures in tandem. The aptamers cooperatively bind glycine to regulate the expression of downstream genes. Lineage: Bacteria; Pseudomonadati; Pseudomonadota; Alphaproteobacteria; Hyphomicrobiales; Phyllobacteriaceae. RNAcentral also lists the same sequence under 1 other name. The record is from RNAcentral.
GACACUCUGGAAAGUCGGGGAGCGAUCCCCGCGCCGAAGGUGUAAGCGUGGUCGACAGGGUUCCGGCUGCGCGAGUCUCUCAGGCUUCCGACAGAGGGG